RNAcentral lists this ribosomal RNA (478 nucleotides) under uncultured bacterium. Its description in RNAcentral is "bacterial SSU rRNA". It matches the Rfam family "Bacterial small subunit ribosomal RNA", at positions 27 to 507 of the family's 1533-position model. The record is from RNAcentral.
GAUUGAACGCUGGCGGCAUGCCUUACACAUGCAAGUCGAACGGUAGGGGGAGCAAUCCCCUGAGAGUGGCGAAACGGGUGAGUAAUACAUCGGAACGUGCCCAGUCGUGGGGGAUAACGUAGCGAAAGCUACGCUAAUACCGCAUACGACCUGAGGGUGAAAGCGGGGGACCGAAAGGCCUCGCGCGAUUGGAGCGGCCGAUGGCAGAUUAGGUAGUUGGUGGGGUAAAGGCCCACCAAGCCUGCGAUCUGUAGCUGGUCUGAGAGGAUGAUCAGCCACACUGGAACUGAGACACGGUCCAGACUCCUACGGGAGGCAGCAGUGAGGAAUAUUGGUCAAUGGGCGGAAGCCUGAACCAGCCAUGCCGCGUGCAGGAAGACGGCCCUACGGGUUGUAAACUGCUUUUAUGUGAGGAUAAACCUAGAUUUUGCGAAUCUAGCUGAAGGUAUCACAUGAAUAAGGAUCGGCUAACUCCGUG